Syngnathus typhle (broad-nosed pipefish) is the source of this 4731-nucleotide long non-coding RNA. RefSeq lists it as uncharacterized. The transcript is spliced from 4 exons. The record is from RefSeq and is a predicted model, not a curated record. Lineage: Eukaryota; Metazoa; Chordata; Actinopteri; Syngnathiformes; Syngnathidae.
GCAUCAAAUAAUAUGUGCAGGAAUGUUAUUGUGCUUUGGCGGGAUAGUAAAAACAGGCUUUGGUGCUGCGCCUCCAUGUUUUGACAGGUUGAGUGUCUUUGCCAGCCGAUAAACAAGCUCGCUGGACCGUCAGCUCCGCUUCGCAUACUUUUAUCCAUUUGGAUUUUGCGUAGGUACUCACAAUUUCUACUCGGGUGUCCUCCAUUUAAAAAUGAUUUUCGUCAGAGUCGACGGUAGCGCGACGCUCAAAUUGUGAUUUCAUUUAUGAUUUUGACGGACGAUUACUCGGCGGUCAUUCUUUAUCUAGAAAUGAUCAUUGAUGAUGACAUUAUGAAAUGCACAUUGUGCUAUUGUGCAGGUGUCCAGUUCCAUUCUUUAGCGCUUCUUCCCUUCCACAAAUAUCUCAGUUGCGCGCUUGACAGGUCCAGCUCGAUUUCUUUUCAUUGGCAGCGCGUCAAAAGCAAUUGUCAAAGGUCCCUCAGCGGGAUUCCCGCCUCCGCUCUCCUCCCGAGAAGCGUCUGCUGUCAAGACUGUUCGCAUGAUUUUUCCGCCGGGUGUCCGCAUCUGUGCCUGAUUUGCACAAGAAUAAAGAAGUCCCCUCGGCUAACCCCUGACUUAAUUAGAAGCCAUCUUCAACUGUGGACAAAGACGCUACAGCUAACAGCGAGGCUAACAAGUGUUUUCUAGGCUAUCAAGUGUUUGCCUUCACGUUGAUUUCGACAUAAAGUAAGACCGAGGCUUGAAAUCUGCAAACGACGAAGAAGGCCACUGUCAAGUGCAUCAUUUAACCGCUUGUAAACAAUCGCAAUCCCUCCCUUUAUUAGCCACCCUCAGCUAAAUGAGCGCAGACUUCUCCUCCCCGUUUGAGCCGUAAAACAACAAAGCCAAAAAGUGGAUCGGCGCGGGCAUCCCGUGUGGGGCCUCCAAUGAGGAGGCGGGGCUGCGUCUUUACGAGGCCCGCUUAUCGCCAGGUGUUAAACUCACUCCACAAUUCGGAGCCGCUAUCGGCUUUGAAAGACGGUAACGCGGGGUCUGCGCUAAUUGGCUUUCAAAGUGGAGUAGAUAGCUGACCUAAGAAUGUUUGUAAAAGUGGCGACGACCAUUUUCGUUGGAAAAAAACUAUUUUAACCGUGGCUUUCCUGUGUCUUGUUUCGAAGUAAAGUGAUUCCAGGCGUGCGCGUGACGCAGAUCCCGGGCCCGUGCCAUUAAAGCGCUAUCUGCAAGCAAGCCGACCGUUUAGUAGCAAGAUUGCGAUACGGUUUCAAGUGGAGGCCUUUUCGCUUCCAGGGGACUCUCACCCGUAUCGAAAUCAAAUCGGCAAAUUGGAGUCAAAAUAAGGUGAGCGUUUGUGAGCUUGCAGUCUUCAAUGUUUUGGGAAUUGGUUUGGUUUUUCGGGCAGCGGGGACUCCGAGGCUCAAAGUGGAAUAGUUCCGACUUUUCCAAUGUUCUUCAAUGCGUCAUUACGCUUCCUAUGCAACACUUGAAAGCAAGCAGCGGUUGCAUUCCGAAAGCAAAAUAUUCGACAGGUUGUGAUGGAGCGUGGCGAGGGAAGAAAAAUAAAGACAUGACCUGGACAAAUUGAUUUUGUUGUUGUGCUAGCAUGGCAACUUUCAUGCCUGCUCUUUCCACAAGGGGUGUGUGUACUUUGUAUAUCCACCAUGUGCCUCAGCAAGUUCCAAUUUUAUUACGGCCUCUGUGAAGACCUUUGAGAAAUCGGCGCCUCCUGCGGUCAGCCGAAAUCAAGCGGCCUGGCCGGCGUACAUAGUUAGGCUUUUGUCACUUUUUUUUUUUCAAGAUAGCUUUUGUCUUGAGACAGAUAAAGCAGGAGGAGGUCUCUCACACACACACACACACACACACACACACUGAUAACACACUAACCUUUGAUGUAAAUCCUGCAGGGAAGAAGAUGCAAGAGGGGGAUUGGAUGGGAGGAGAAACUACAGUGAGAUUAGAGGAAUAGCUUCAGGGAAUGGUGUUUUUGUUUCAGGAUGUUGUGCCGCAAGAGGAUGAACCUGGACUGCGGAGGCUCUUCAGUGCAUCCCGAAGCUGACAAGAAUGUGCAUGUGCGUGCCUGAGUGGACAUCCACGAGUUCAAAGUGUGGACAAGACGUGCUCAAGUAGAAGGAAGUCCCGCAUAAACUCAAAAUCCGCCUGGCGUCCUUUCAUUCAUCUGCUCUGACUGUUGGCGUCUCCAUCCCCUCCCAGCAGGAAAAAUAAACUUGACCCUUCGCAUCCUGGCGAGAUGUGACCUCCGACCCCACCCCCCUGACUGGGCCAGAGUGUUCCGAGGCUCCUCAUUCCAUCCAUCACAGUCUCUCCUCCAGAAAUUCCUCAAAUGGCAAGCGCUGUAUGCUUCUCGCCCGGCAGUUGCCGCACCCACCUCGGCGCCCCCCUCCGUACUCCCGUGGCGGGACGCUUGGAGAAGAACCCCUGCCCCCCCGCCCGCAGUGGACCUCAUGUGACCCACACUAUGAGAGUGGCAGGGAAGCACAAAAGCACGCUGGAGAGUUUUAAAGGUACUUUGCAGUGGAGAGCUUUUUGAAGUGGACACGUUGAGGCCGCGCGGUGCAAGCUUUGUGCAAAAAACACUGAGAUGAAAAACAGAUCAAACUUUCCCUGUGUGGAUUGGAAAAAAAAAUAUUUUGGGCGUCUUUUGCAAUAUUGAUCUUGUACGAUUAAUUCAGAGGAAUAUUUUGACUUUCAUCCCUUCAUUUUUUUUACACAUUUAAUAGAGAUGUGCUCCUCCAAGCCACAUCUCACAAACAUAAUACACAAUCCCGCGUACUGCCCCCCCGGUCCUGUUGAAUGGGGGCGGAUGGGAUGGGGCGGGGCGGGGCAGGGGGCUCUUCCUUUCUCGAAAGAAGACCCCGGCCACCCGUCUAAACAUGGGCGCAGUGAGAAAAUGAAGACCUCUACGCCCCUCGAAAGCAGCAGGAAUUUCUCAUUAAGCGUAGAUUUGGGACCCCCUUCACUCCCUCGAGGGAGGGUGCGGGGGUUCUCCCUCAGCCGGCAGCGCCUCUCAUUCACCUUUUCUCUUUUUCAAUCACGCUUGCAAAGCCCCCGAGCCACUUCCUCUUCCUUUCAGUCCCACUCCUCACACACCUUUUUGUGUGCACGUUCUCUUACAAGGCCUCAAAGAUUUCUUUCUUUUUUUGAUGUUUUCAUCAUAAUAGUCUCUGGUGAUAUUUGUGUCCCAAGGCAGUUGAGGCAGAUUCUCCUUUUCAAAGCGUUUCCCAUUCCCACUUUGGAGUAGGAUUAAUGAGGAUUAUGGAGAUGAGGCGAGGUAAUGAGUUGUGAGGGCCGCCACUUUUUUUUUUUUCCAAACAAAACGCAGCCAAUGGCGAUUUGGCCGCUCGUGGCUUUUUUACGUGUUGGCCAGCUGACUUUGGCGCCUUUUCUUGCACAGCAGCCCCCCAGCUAAGGUUUUAUUUUGAAAAUGGAGCGUGCAGUUAGAAAAGGCUUUGUUUGGGAAUAGGCUCAAUUAUAUUGAGAAAUAAGAUUAAAAAAUUUAUGGAAUAAUAAAUUGAGAAAAAAAGCAAGAUGGACUACAAUCAAAUCCAGUAGAAAUAACUAACAUUCAAUAUUUUUAUGUAUUUUUUAUCUACGCCAUUCGUAAUUACGUACUUUUCAUAAAAAAGCGAUAAUGUUAAUUUUAUUUUUAUAUAUUCUUUUAUAGUUAAAUUACUCGUGAUGUAUGUAAAUUAAACAUGAAAAGUUGAAUACGUAUUGCGUAUGUAUUCUCAUGAAACAAGACUUAUUUUUACAAUAAACCACUCAUAAUUUAUUUUACUUCUAUUAGAAAACAAGUAAUAAUAGAUAUAAAUAAAAAAUGUAUUAAGAUGUCAUCUAUGAAAUAAUCAAAUAUUGCAUCUCACGGCCACUAGGGGUCCUCUUAUUACACUAAUGCAAUGUGCUACCGUUAAAAUGUUCUCAUCUCAGCAUUCCUGUGCAAACUUGUCAGAAAUUGGCAUGGCCAGUCGACUUUGUGCGGAGAGAAAUGAGAGAAUGAAACUGAGAAUUAGAGAGAAAGAGAGGGAAAGAGAGAGAUCCCACGCGGGCCAGAACAGCUGACAGCUGGGUUCAGCUGAGGUCAGAGGGCAAGCAUUGGCGGUGGGGGGAGCAAAGCAGAAUUUAAAAUAACAGGAAGACACACAUGCACACAUACUUGUGCGUAGUCAUCGAUGACUUGCCCUUUUUACUUGCUUCCAUAACAACCGCAACAGCAGAGGUGCCAAAAGGACGUUCACGACUCGUCAGAAGAAGACAAUCAAUGGAUGCUGCCAUGAAUGGUGCUGCCAGGGCCUACUGGCAGAAAAACAAACUCCAGUGUCUUGCUCAAGGACUCUUGGACAUGAUCAUCACCAGGCUUGAGGAUUGAACCCACCACCUAUCUUUUGGGGGGGCCGCACCCCACGUGGCGUAACAAAAUACCCAUGCCAAAACCCGCUACUGGUGUGGAUUUAAAAUCCGGCAAAAGAGCAAAAAAAGAUUUAUGGGGACAAACCAAGUGCUUGAAUCUAUUGCGUCUCAUUUGAGGUACUCUGGCUCCCUCUAGAGCCGAUGAGUGCUACAUGCAAGAUCGAGAAAAAAGUGCUACAUUGGGUCUUCUAUUGUGAAAUCUAAAAAUAUAUAAUCAAAAAUGAAAUAUGUUAAGGUAUGCAUAUGCAUGUGUUUUGUCCAUAUUUAAAAUAGCAUUUUUGUAAUACGUCUGUGGUCCUAUAUAAAGUA